AGAGUUGAUUCUGGCUCAGAAUGAACGCUGGCGGCAUGGAUUAGGCAUGCAAGUCGAACGUACUCCCUUCGGGGAGAAAGUGGCGAAAGGGUGAGUAACACGUGAGCAACCUGCCUCCGGAUCCGGAAUAAUCCAGGGAAACUUGGUCUAAAACCGAAUGAAGACAUUGGUCCGCAUGGUCUAAUGUUAAAAUAUUUAUAGUCCGGAGAGGGGCUCGCGGCCCAUUAGCUUGUUGGCGGGGUAAUGGCCCACCAAGGCUACGACGGGUAGGUGGUCUGAGAGGAUGGUCACCCACACUGGGACUGAGACACUGCCCAGACUCCUACGGGAGGCUGCAGUCGAGAAUCUUCCGCAAUGGGCGCAAGCCUGACGGAGCGAUGCCGCGUGAGGGAUGAAGGCCUUCGGGUUGUAAACCUCUGUCAUCCGGGACGAAAACAAUGACGGUACCGGAAAAGGAAGCCACGGCUAACCACGUGCCAGCCGCUGC
This 487-nucleotide ribosomal RNA is filed under the name uncultured bacterium. RNAcentral describes it as "bacterial SSU rRNA". It matches the Rfam family "Bacterial small subunit ribosomal RNA", at positions 8 to 518 of the family's 1533-position model. The record is from RNAcentral.